AACCUAGCACACCUGCGGUGUGUACCUGCGGAAGGAUCAUUACCUAGAGUUGUAGGCUUUGCCUGCUAUCUCUUACCCAUGUCUUUUGAGUACCUUACGUUUCCUCGGUGGGCUCGCCCACCGAUUGGACAAAUUUAAACCCUUUGCAGUUGAAAUCAGCGUCUGAAAAAACUUAAUAGUUACAACUUUUAACAAUGGAACU
RNAcentral lists this unclassified non-coding RNA (202 nucleotides) under soil metagenome. RNAcentral's name for it is "partial contains 5.8S ribosomal RNA, internal transcribed spacer 2, and large subunit ribosomal RNA". The record is from RNAcentral.